Papaver somniferum (opium poppy) is the source of this 555-nucleotide long non-coding RNA. RefSeq lists it as uncharacterized. The transcript has 4 exons. The record is from RefSeq and is a predicted model, not a curated record. Lineage: Eukaryota; Viridiplantae; Streptophyta; Magnoliopsida; Ranunculales; Papaveraceae.
UCUUUUCCUUCUUCUCUCUGUUUUCCUUCCAAUCCUCUCUGUUCAGUUCUUUGUGUUAGAAGAUGGGUAUACCUAAUAGAUCAAAGGAACGAAGAAGUCUGAUAGAUUCAGAGGCUAAAGUGAAGAUGGGUAAAACUAAGAAAUCAAAAAAACGGCGAAGUAAACCACGAAUUGAGAGGGUGAUCGUAGAAAGAGGAGUCUGCCGAGGGCAAUAGACACCAAGUGGUGUCGGAUAGUUCAUGAGUACGAAUUAGAGCUGGCCAGAACUGGUAAGCAGGGUUUUCUAAUGCCGCAGAAUCUGGUGGGCAGGCUUCUCCAGAUAACUCACGAUAAGCAGAAGGAUCAGGCUGGUGUUCUAGUGCCUGAAGCUGAAGGAAGGGGGGCCAGAGAAGCAGCAAAUGAAAGACAAUGUUUAGUUUAAUUUAUUUUGUGGGUUUGUUUAUGUUUAAGAUGUCUUUGGAUGACUGCAUUUUAUAUUGAAAAUCAAACUAUGAAAUGUUUAAGACAAUGUUGAAUCCAAUUUUCUUUUGAUUACAUUAUAAGAUUUUUCUUAAA